AUCCUGGCAUGUGGUUAUAAGGCAUUCUCCCAGAGAAAGGUCCACCAUUUAGAGCCUGAACUCCUACUCUACCAGGACCAGAAAAUAACUUCAUUCUGCAAUUGAAAGAAUCACAGCAAGCUCUCAUUGUAUCAAGAGUUUGCAGCGUCCUCAGUACCAUCUUGGAUGUAGACCGUACCGUAACCAGACAUGGAACCUGCUGGUGCCUUGAACUAUAUCCCAGCUUCUGUAACUGUGAAAAUAUCCCUUGCAAACUUAAUGAUUAUCUAACAAAUACUCUAACAACAUGGAUGAUAGUUCAUCAUGGACAAAAGAAAUCCAUUCCAAGGCUAGACACCAUAGGACUAUCCAAAAGGAACAAAUGAGAGAACUACUCAUCGGUGAAGGAUGACUGGAGGUGCCAGGAAGUAAUCUUCAGUGAUUAAAUAGGAGAGCCUCUUCUAACACAGCAGGCAAACUGGCGGUCAUACUCUUCUCUAAAUGAGCCAACACUCCCUAGGAGACCUCAGUAGAACUCCCUCUUCUCUGCUGGAAAGGUUUUGCCUCCCCAGGACCCAUCCCUCACCAUCCAUGCAUGACAUUCUGGCCUCAAGUAUCCACUCCUCAAAGGAAAAGAAAUUGGAGAGAUUCGCCUUGAAAAUAAGCCUUCAUAUUAGUGACUUCCUUCUUUUAAAGGACAUCGAACAAGUUUUGGUAACUUGUUAUUCGAGAGGAAUGUCCAAGAGGACUGGGAUUUAAUAAUUAUGCAAGGAGAAGAAAUGUGGAUUUGUGUUGACAAUAGACAACGGGUGAUAACUUCUUCAUGAAGCCUGGGCAAUUCAAGGCUGCAACUUAAAUGAAAGUGUGGACAAGAGUGAUCCACUCACAUUCCUGGAGUGAUAACAAAGCAACUUGUCUGCUUCAUCUUGGAGGCUAUGUAAGAAAAAAUAUCUCCUGGAAAAUUCGUAAUUUUAGAUCUUCCUUCACAUUGGGUCGAAGAUGUUGUUUGCUGGUUUAAUAAUAGGGUAUCUAGGGGAGGAGGAAAGUACUGAUAUCUAGCAUCUGCUAAUUUCUGUGGUGACAAUAACAUUACUAUGGCUGAUUUCAGGCUACCAAUGUGAUAUCAUGAACUAGGAAUUGGGGAGAGAUGUGGACCGUCAGCUGACACAAGCUAGUGUGAGCUAGCUUCAUCCAGCACCCUACUGAUUUAAAGAGUGAACUCAUAUUACUUGAAUAAUCCAGCAAUAAAAAGAUCAUAGAAGGGUUAUAUAUUCAGUAAAAAGGUGAACUAGAAAAAAUAAACAACCCAUUGGAACAUUUAAUAUAUUUAUUGCCUAUUUAUAAUUUGAUUCUGCAACUUAAAAUACAGAGGUCCUUUCUAAAAAUGUUUACACAGGCACCUGGCCUCACCUAGUUUUCCAGGUCAGCUGUAUGCCAUUCUCAAAGUUCAGGAAACCCUAACAAGAAUUGCUUUAGGACUUAUCUCUGAUGCAUCUGACAAAGCAAAUACAAUAUUGGUCUGAAGAAGAAACUCUCCAGCUAGUUUGCACAGAAAACAUCCAGUGAAAAAUAAUAAGUUCAUAAUACAAAAAUUAAAACAUGCAAUGAAACAAAAUAUAUGUCAACAUUAGCAGAAACAAAAAUAAGCAGUAUAAACCUUAAACAACUGUAUAAAUUUUGUGUGUGUGUUUGUCUCUAUGUUUGUGUGUGGAGGCAUAUCUGUGUGAUUCCAUGUCUUUAAUAAUGGUAGAACCAUUUGUGCUUUCAAAAUCUUCUGAAUGAGUUUAAGGCUAUAUUUUUGUCAAAGAAGUUCUGGAUUUCACCCAGUUUUCAAAUUUAUUUUCACAGAACUUCCUGAAAACUUUCUUAUUACUUCAGUUUUAUUGUAGGUAUAAUUAUGUUUUACUGUUCAUUUCUGUGACUACUUAUGUCUCACUCCUUUUUUUAUCAUAUUUUCAAUGCUCUUAGGAUGUAUCUAUUUACUGAGACUUUUCAAA
RNAcentral lists this long non-coding RNA (1976 nucleotides) under Homo sapiens (human). Its description in RNAcentral is "HSALNT0030564". Lineage: Eukaryota; Metazoa; Chordata; Mammalia; Primates; Hominidae. The record is from RNAcentral.